GCCGCGGUGGUGGAACCGGCAGACACGCAGCGUUCAGGUCGCUGUGAUCGCAAGAUCGUGAGAGUUCAAAUCUCUCCCGCGGCA
Molecule: transfer RNA, 84 nt
Filed under: Candidatus Harrisonbacteria bacterium CG10_big_fil_rev_8_21_14_0_10_49_15
Lineage: Bacteria; Candidatus Harrisoniibacteriota
Description: tRNA-Leu
Rfam family: tRNA
About the family: Transfer RNA (tRNA) molecules are approximately 80 nucleotides in length.
Source: RNAcentral